UACGUAGGGCGCAAGCGUUGUCCGGAAUUAUUGGGCGUAAAGAGCUCGUAGGCGGUCUGUCACGUCUGCCGUGAAAACCCGAGGCUUAACCUCGUGGCUUACGGUGGAUACGGGCAGACUAGAGGUAGGUAGGGGAGAACGGAAUUCCCGGUGUAGCGGUGAAAUGCGCAGAUAUCGGGAGGAACACCGGUGGCGAAGGCGGUUCUCUGGGCCUUACCUGACGCUGAGGAGCGAAAGCAUGGGGAGCGAACAGG
Molecule: ribosomal RNA, 254 nt
Filed under: uncultured bacterium
Lineage: Bacteria
Description: partial 16S ribosomal RNA
Rfam family: Bacterial small subunit ribosomal RNA
Source: RNAcentral